UAAUGCUGGGAUGUGAUGGGGAGCGAAAUUUAGUAGCGAAGUAGCUGAUUUCACACUGUCAAGAAAAGUCUCUAUCGAGGUUAAAGGUACCCGGACCGCAAACCGACACAGGUGGGUGAGGAGAGGAGCCUAAGGCCAGAGAGAGAACUGUUGUGAAGGACCGCGGCAAAAUGACCCCGGAACUUAGGGAUAAGGGGUGCCACCAUCAGGUGGCCGCAGAGAAUAGGCCCAAGCGACUGUUUACCAAAAACAUAGGUUUCUGCUAAGUCGCAAGACGAUGUAUAGGAGCUGACGCCUGCCCGGUGCUGGAAGGUUAAGGGGAUCUGUUAGAGCAAUCGAAGCAGUGAACUUAAGCCCCAGUAAACGGCGGCCGUAACUAUAACGGUCCUAAGGUAGCGAAAUUCCUUGUCGGGUAAGUUCCGACCCGCACGAAAGGCGUAACGAUUUGGGCACUGUCUCA
Molecule: ribosomal RNA, 460 nt
Filed under: Clostridioides difficile
Lineage: Bacteria; Bacillati; Bacillota; Clostridia; Peptostreptococcales; Peptostreptococcaceae
Description: bacterial LSU rRNA
Rfam family: Bacterial large subunit ribosomal RNA
Source: RNAcentral